GUCUUUUUGAAUUCUAUAUAAAGUCUGACCUGCCCACUGAAAUUUGAAUGGCCGCAGUACACUAACUGUGCAAAGGUAGCAUAAUAAUUAGUCUUUUAAUUGAAGGCUUGUAUGAACGGUUGGACGAGGUAUUAACUGUUUCAUUUAAAUUUAAACUAGAAUUUUAUUUUUUAGUCAAAAAGCUAAAAUUUUUUUAAAAGACGAGAAGACCCUAUAAAGCUUUAUAUUUAUUUAAUUUUGUUUUAUUAGAUAAGUUUUUAUAAAAUUAAUUUAAAUAUUUUAUUGGGGUGAUAUUAAAAUUUUUUAAACUUUUAAUUUAUUAAAUCAUUAAUUUAUGAUUAAAUGAUCCGAUAUUUUCGAUUAAAAAUUUAAGUUACUUUAGGGAUAACAGCGUAAUUUUUUUGGAGAGUUCAUAUCGAUAAAAAAGAUUGCGACCUCGAUGUUGGAUUAAGGAAUAAGUUUAGGCGCAGCAGUUUAAAUAAUAAGUCUGUUCGACUUUUAAACCCUU
RNAcentral lists this ribosomal RNA (508 nucleotides) under Renocera pallida. RNAcentral describes it as "partial 16S ribosomal RNA". It matches the Rfam family "Bacterial large subunit ribosomal RNA", at positions 1819 to 2597 of the family's 2925-position model. Lineage: Eukaryota; Metazoa; Arthropoda; Insecta; Diptera; Sciomyzidae. The record is from RNAcentral.